GUGUAGCAAAAUGGUUAUGCGACGGUCUGUAGAGCCGUUUAUGGGGGUUCGAAUCCCUUCA
This 61-nucleotide transfer RNA is filed under the name uncultured Methanobrevibacter sp. It matches the Rfam family "tRNA", at positions 6 to 65 of the family's 71-position model. Rfam says of the family: Transfer RNA (tRNA) molecules are approximately 80 nucleotides in length. Their secondary structure includes four short double-helical elements and three loops (D, anti-codon, and T loops). Further hydrogen bonds mediate the characteristic L-shaped molecular structure. tRNAs have two regions of fundamental functional importance: the anti-codon, which is responsible for specific mRNA codon recognition, and the 3' end, to which the tRNAs corresponding amino acid is attached (by aminoacyl-tRNA synthetases). tRNAs cope with the degeneracy of the genetic code in two manners: having more than one tRNA (with a specific anti-codon) for a particular amino acid; and 'wobble' base-pairing, i.e. permitting non-standard base-pairing at the 3rd anti-codon position. Lineage: Archaea; Methanobacteriati; Methanobacteriota; Methanobacteria; Methanobacteriales; Methanobacteriaceae. The record is from RNAcentral.